Molecule: non-coding RNA, 46 nt
Filed under: Schistosoma mansoni
Lineage: Eukaryota; Metazoa; Platyhelminthes; Trematoda; Strigeidida; Schistosomatidae
Source: RNAcentral
GCACUGCUGAGGAGUCCCACAAUAGGACGAAACGGUUGUCCGAUGC